CCUACGGGCGGCAGCAGUGAGGAAUAUUGGUCAAUGGGCGGAAGCCUGAACCAGCCAAGUCGCGUGAGGGAAGACGGUCCUAUGGAUUGUAAACCUCUUUAGGCGGGGAGCAAUGCCGGGCACGCGUGCCCGGAGGGAGCGUACCCGCAGACUAAGCAUCGGCUAACUCCGUGCCAGCAGCCGCGGUGAUACGGAGGAUGCGAGCGUUAUCCGGUUUUAUGGGGGUUAAAGGGUGCGUAGGCGGAUUUUUAAGUCAGCGGUAAAAUGUCCGGGCUCAACCCGGGCCGGCCGUUGAAACUGGGGAUCUUGAGUGGGCGAGAAGUAUGCGGAAUGCGUGGUGUAGCGGUGAAAUGCAUAGAUAUUACGAAGAACUCCGAUUGCGAAGGCAGCAUACCGGCGCCCGACUGACGCUGAGGCACGAAAGCGUGGGGAUCGAACAGGAUUAGAUACCCCAGUAGUC
RNAcentral lists this ribosomal RNA (460 nucleotides) under uncultured bacterium. RNAcentral describes it as "partial 16S ribosomal RNA". It matches the Rfam family "Bacterial small subunit ribosomal RNA", at positions 338 to 795 of the family's 1533-position model. The record is from RNAcentral.